Molecule: ribosomal RNA, 451 nt
Filed under: Escherichia coli
Lineage: Bacteria; Pseudomonadati; Pseudomonadota; Gammaproteobacteria; Enterobacterales; Enterobacteriaceae
Description: bacterial SSU rRNA
Rfam family: Bacterial small subunit ribosomal RNA
Source: RNAcentral
UUAAAUUGAAGAGUUUGAUCAUGGCUCAGAUUGAACGCUGGCGGCAGGCCUAACACAUGCAAGUCGAACGGUAACAGGAAACAGCUUGCUGUUUCGCUGACGAGUGGCGGACGGGUGAGUAAUGUCUGGGAAACUGCCUGAUGGAGGGGGAUAACUACUGGAAACGGUAGCUAAUACCGCAUAACGUCGCAAGACCAAAGAGGGGGACCUUCGGGCCUCUUGCCAUCGGAUGUGCCCAGAUGGGAUUAGCUAGUAGGUGGGGUAACGGCUCACCUAGGCGACGAUCCCUAGCUGGUCUGAGAGGAUGACCAGCCACACUGGAACUGAGACACGGUCCAGACUCCUACGGGAGGCAGCAGUGGGGAAUAUUGCACAAUGGGCGCAAGCCUGAUGCAGCCAUGCCGCGUGUAUGAAGAAGGCCUUCGGGUUGUAAAGUACUUUCAGCGGGGAG